Molecule: non-coding RNA, 93 nt
Organism: Zopfochytrium polystomum
Lineage: Eukaryota; Fungi; Chytridiomycota; Chytridiomycetes; Chytridiales; Chytridiaceae
Source: the annotation of a GenBank genome assembly
GCCUUCUUGGCUCAGUUGGCAGAGCGUCUCCCUAGUAGCACAGCAUUCCUAAGUGGAAGGAGAAGGUCACCAGUUCAAUUCUGGUAGAAGGCA